CAGUAGCCACGGUAAUACGAAGGGGGCUAGCGUUGUUCGGAAUUACUGGGCGUAAAGCGCACGUAGGCGGAUCGAUCAGUCAGGGGUGAAAUCCCAGGGCUCAACCCUGGAACUGCCUUUGAUACUGUCGAUCUGGAGUAUGGAAGAGGUGAGUGGAAUUCCGAGUGUAGAGGUGAAAUUCGUAGAUAUUCGGAGGAACACCAGUGGCGAAGGCGGCUCACUGGUCCAUUACUGACGCUGAGGUGCGAAAGCGUGGGGAGCAAACAGGAUUAGAUACCCGUGUAGUCCCUGUCUCUUAUAC
Molecule: ribosomal RNA, 301 nt
Filed under: uncultured bacterium
Lineage: Bacteria
Description: partial 16S ribosomal RNA
Rfam family: Bacterial small subunit ribosomal RNA
Source: RNAcentral